AAAUGAAUAGACGGGGGCCCGCACAAGCAGCGGAGCGUGUGGUUUAAUUCGAGGCUACGCGAAGAACCUUACCUGGGUUUGACAUAUGGGUGGUAGGGAACCGAAAGGGGACCGACCUUCGGGAGCCCAUACAGGUGCUGCAUGGCUGUCGUCAGCUCGUGCCGUGAGGUGUUCGGUUAAGUCCGGUAACGAGCGCAACCCUCGUCGUUAGUUACAAGUGUCUAACGAGACUGCCCGUGACAAGCGGGAGGAAGGUGGGGAUGACGUCAAGUCAGCAUGGCCUUUAUAUCCAGGGCUACACACACGCUACAAUGGCCGGUACAAUGGGUCGCCAACCCGCGAGGGGGAGCCAAUCCAACAAAGCCGGUCUCAGUUCGGAUUGCAGGCUGCAACCCGCCUGCAUGAAGUCGGAGUUGCUAGUAACCGCGCGUCAGCACAGUGCGGUGAAUACGUUCCCGGGCCUUGUACACACCGCCCGU
Molecule: ribosomal RNA, 479 nt
Filed under: uncultured bacterium
Lineage: Bacteria
Description: bacterial SSU rRNA
Rfam family: Bacterial small subunit ribosomal RNA
Source: RNAcentral